UGAAAAUGUACAAAACAAAUGUUAAUAAUUGUUAAAAAACGUUUGUAUAGGAAAGGUUAUUCUAACAUAAACGAUUUUCUUAGAUACUACAGACUUAUUAUCAUUAUGAGAAUGAGAUCCUCAGGCUCUUUCAUUAUAAAUGUUAUUAUCAUAUUAAAUUACAUUGUAAUCUAUAUAUUUAUAUAUGAAAAAAGCCCGCUGAGUUUCUUGCAACCUUUCUUCUCAAGUCUGAGGCAGUCUUGCAUUUGCAUUUUGAAUGGGUGGCAGUUGUUAUUGACGUUCAAUAAGUGGUUUUGAAUGCUAUUUUAAAUAAAAAUAUUUGAAUUUGGAUAUGGAACAGCUGGUAGCGUAUAAACUAAGAUUAAAAUAUCUGCCUAGCUAUAUCGAGGACUGAGUAUAAAUAUGGGUUUGAAAUUGUAAUAAGAACAUCAGGAGGGUGCUAGUAGCACUGACGCUAUCCAUAAACCGACGCACGUAGAUAGAAAGAGUAUUUUGACCGGCGAUUCGCUUUUUUUAAUCUGAUACUCCAACCCUUAGUAUUAGUAGUCACACGAUUGAAAGCAACAGGUUUGCAAAUAAAACGAAAGUGUUACAAUCCGUUGUGAUCAUUUGUUUUGUGUAAAUUGCUCCAUUGUAAUCUAUGUCCUUAAUGCUUUGUGCAAAAAGUAGUAGAAGAAGAAGAAAAUGACUUAUGAAUGUCAAUGACCCCAUAAAGAAUAGAGAAACCAUUUCGGAAAAGUUGAGCGUAAAUGAGAAAAACUCGCAAGAAACUCAUUGCCACUCUUUUUAAUAUAUAUCUAUUUACAGUUUUAGCAUGUAACAUUAUAUUUUAUACAAAGUGAUAUACCUAAAUUAUUACUCAAACGUUUUGGAAUUCUUGGAUUGGGUGGUAGUUUUUUGACAUUCAAUAAGUGGUGUCACAUCCUAUUUUGAAUAAAAAUAUUUGAAUUUGUGUAACUAAAGAAAAAAAAGUGAUAAAUCUUAUUAUCGAUAAACCGACCAGGCACCACAAGUUAGUAGCGCCCGUUCAUAAUGGACCAGACCGGAAUUCCUUCCCUCACUCUCGUUGUGUUUACUAGAGUCUGGCUAAUGAAAGCUGAACCUGAACGUAGUGUUUAAAUUCUCUUUGGCUGAACCUAGCCAUUUAUAGGAAUGGCAAUAAUAAAAAAAAAUAUCAUUAUGACAAUUUCAAUCAAUCUGUUGUGUCUUGCUGUCACAUUGGAGUUUGCUUACAUUGAGUUUCUUGAAUAUUUCUAAGCGAACAUGGGUAAAACGAUAAAUAGUGGCGUGCGGCGAGUGUUAUUUAUUAUGUUGAAUAAAUUAAAGCAAGAACAAGAAUAGAAAGAAGCAAUGUUCUGGCAAAAAAAUAAAUGUUUAGAUGUCUUGACUGAAUUCGUAGCAGCUCAUAUGGAAACAGUCGUAAAAUAUGCUUUUGAAAGUAUAACACCAGAAAAUUGAAAGACAAUGACAUGGAUGAAAUAAUAGAAGAGCUAAAACCAUUGAUCAUAAGUGUGGAGGAUGUUAGUUCCAGUAGUAGUACAGACGAAUAUUUGGAAAUAUAAAUUUUAGAAUAAGCUUUUGAUUAAAAUGAAUAAAAUCUGUUUAUCUUC
Long non-coding RNA from Leptidea sinapis, 1610 nucleotides. RefSeq lists it as uncharacterized. The transcript has 2 exons. The record is from RefSeq and is a predicted model, not a curated record. Lineage: Eukaryota; Metazoa; Arthropoda; Insecta; Lepidoptera; Pieridae.